AUUUGGUCGUAGACCCGAAACCAGGUGAUCUACCCUUGGUCAGGUUGAAGUUCAGGUAACACUGAAUGGAGGACCGAACCGACUUACGUUGAAAAGUGAGCGGAUGAACUGAGGGUAGCGGAGAAAUUCCAAUCGAACCUGGAGAUAGCUGGUUCUCUCCGAAAUAGCUUUAGGGCUAGCCUCAAGUGAUGAUUAUUGGAGGUAGAGCACUGUUUGGACGAGGGGCCCCUCUCGGGUUACCGAAUUCAGACAAACUCCGAAUGCCAAUUAAUUUAACUUGGGAGUCAGAACAUGGGUGAUAAGGUCCGUGUUCGAAAGGGAAACAGCCCAGACCACCAGCUAAGGU
This 346-nucleotide ribosomal RNA is filed under the name Staphylococcus aureus. Its description in RNAcentral is "partial 23S ribosomal RNA". It matches the Rfam family "Bacterial large subunit ribosomal RNA", at positions 701 to 1045 of the family's 2925-position model. Lineage: Bacteria; Bacillati; Bacillota; Bacilli; Caryophanales; Staphylococcaceae. The record is from RNAcentral.